This 254-nucleotide ribosomal RNA is filed under the name uncultured bacterium. RNAcentral's name for it is "partial 16S ribosomal RNA". It matches the Rfam family "Bacterial small subunit ribosomal RNA", at positions 524 to 776 of the family's 1533-position model. The record is from RNAcentral.
UACGUAGGCAGCGAGCGUUGUUCGGAUUUACUGGGCGUAAAGGGCGCGUAGGCGGUCGUGACAAGUCACUUGUGAAAUCUCCGGGCUUAACUCGGAACGGUCAAGUGAUACUGUCGGACUAGAGUACAGAAGGGGCAACUGGAAUUCUCGGUGUAGCGGUGAAAUGCGUAGAUAUCGAGAGGAACACCUGCGGCGAAGGCGGGUUGCUGGGCUGAUACUGACGCUGAGGCGCGAAAGCGUGGGGAGCAAACAGG